Molecule: non-coding RNA, 27 nt
Filed under: Homo sapiens (human)
Lineage: Eukaryota; Metazoa; Chordata; Mammalia; Primates; Hominidae
Source: RNAcentral
UGCUCAAGGACAGCUCGGGCCACGUGC